CAGGCCUAACACAUGCAAGUCGAGCGGAAACGAUCCUAGCUUGCUAGGAGGCGUCGAGCGGCGGACGGGUGAGUAACACGUGAGAAUCUGCCCAUUAGAGGGAGAUAACCUGGGGAAACCCAGACUAAUACCGCAUAAUCCCUACGGGGGAAAGCAGGGGAUCUUCGGACCUUGUGCUGAUGGAUGAGCUCGCGUCGGAUUAGCUUGUUGGUGAGGUAAUGGCUCACCAAGGCGACGAUCCGUAGCUGGUCUUAGAGGAUGAUCAGCCACACCGGGACUGAGACACGGCCCGGACUCCUACGGGAGGCAGCAGUGGGGAAUCUUGGACAAUGGGGGCAACCCUGAUCCAGCCAUGCCGCGUGUGUGAAGAAGGCCUUCGGGUUGUAAAGCACUUUCAGUAGGGAGGAAGGCUUAUCCUUAAUACGGAUGAGUACUUGACGUUACCUACAG
RNAcentral lists this ribosomal RNA (450 nucleotides) under uncultured Gammaproteobacteria bacterium. RNAcentral describes it as "bacterial SSU rRNA". It matches the Rfam family "Bacterial small subunit ribosomal RNA", at positions 43 to 484 of the family's 1533-position model. The record is from RNAcentral. Lineage: Bacteria; Pseudomonadati; Pseudomonadota; Gammaproteobacteria.